AGGCGGCGGGCGCGGCCGGGAUGGCGAAGAGCAACGGAGAGAAUGGGCCGCGCGCGCCCGCGGCCGGGGAAAGCCUGUCGGGAACCCGGGAGAGCCUGGCCCAGGGCCCCGACGCCGCAACCACCGACGAACUCAGCUCUCUCGGGUCCGACUCGGAGGCCAACGGCUUUGCGGAGCGCCGCAUCGACAAGUUCGGCUUCAUCGUGGGCUCGCAGGGCGCCGAGGGCGCGCUGGAGGAAGUCCCCCUGGAGGUGCUGAGGCAGAGGGAGUCCAAGUGGCUGGACAUGCUCAACAACUGGGACAAAUGGAUGGCCAAGAAGCACAAAAAG
RNAcentral lists this small RNA (329 nucleotides) under Pongo abelii (Sumatran orangutan). RNAcentral's name for it is "processed transcript". Lineage: Eukaryota; Metazoa; Chordata; Mammalia; Primates; Hominidae. The record is from RNAcentral.